AAGGAACUCGGCAAAUUGACCCCGUAACUUCGGGAGAAGGGGUGCUCCAGAGAUGGAGCCGCAGAGAAUCGGCCCAAGCAACUGUUUACCAAAAACACAGGUUUGUGCUAAAUCGAAAGAUGACGUAUACGAGCUGACGCCUGCCCGGUGCUGGAAGGUUAAGAGGAGAUGUGCAAGCAUUGAAUCGAAGCCCCAGUGAACGGCGGCCGUAACUAUAACGGUCCUAAGGUAGCGAAAUUCCUUGUCAGGUAAGUUCUGACCCGCAUGAAAGGCGUAAUGAUUUGGGCACUGUCUCGACAGCCCGCCCGGCGAAAUUGUAGUACCGGUGAAGAUGCCGGUUACCCGCGACAAGACGGAAAGACCCCAUGGAGCUUUACUGUAGCCUAAUAUUGGGUUUCGAUGUUGCAUGCACAGGAUAGAUGGGACACAGGGAAACAAGUGCUUUGGCAUUUGUGGAGUGGCCGUUGGGAUACCAUCCUUGCGAUAUUGGAAUUCUAACCUGCGCCUUUGAAUCAAGGCGGGGGACAUUGUUAGGUGGGCAGUUUGACUGGGGCGGUCGCCUCCUAAAGAGUAACGGAGGCGUUCAAAGGUUCGCUCAGCUUGAACGGAAAUCAAGCAAAAGAGUGCAAACGCAGAAGCGAGCCUAACUGCGAGACUGACGGGUCGAGCAGUAACGAAAGUUGGAGUUAGUGAUCCGGUGGUAUGUGAGUGGAAAUGCCAUCGCUCAACGGAUAAAAGUUACCCUGGGGAUAACAGGCUGAUCUCCCCCAAGAGUCCACAUCGACGGGGAGGUUUGGCACCUCGAUGUCGGCUCAUCGCAUCCUGGGGCUGUAUUCGGUCCCAAGGGUUUGGCUGUUCGCCAAUUAAAGCGGUACGCGAGCUGGGUUCAGAACGUCGUGAGACAGUUCGGUCCCUAU
Molecule: ribosomal RNA, 917 nt
Filed under: human gut metagenome
Description: bacterial LSU rRNA
Rfam family: Bacterial large subunit ribosomal RNA
Source: RNAcentral